AAACGACAUCCGGGACACCGGUCCAGAUACGGAAAAUACGGUACUGCCAGGAAGUUCAUACUUGUUGAAACUUUUCACGUAUAUUGUUCAGUAUAUUAGAAUAAAAGAUUUCAACAUUUUACUUCCUCCCAAGCAAGAUGCCCAAAACUUUUCUUGUUUUCAGUAUGUGAAAACAAAAUAAUACCGAAAAUGUUUCAUCCUGGGAGUUCAGCAUUUCAGUUAAUUUUUACUUGGUACGUUACAGGUAUUGGCGAAUAUAUUUUGGUGCAAGUCUUCAAUCCUGGACAAAACAUCUGCGACACUUUCAAUUAUUUGCCCAAAUUUCGUAAUAUCGCAAAUUUAGGAAACCUCUCCCUUACACCCCACCAAUCAAUGUUGAUUGCAUUCGUAUAGAAUACGGUUAAAACGUCCAACAUUGUUUUGGGGGGUGGAGGGAGGCAAAGGAUAAAUUAUUCCGGUCUAAUUGGUAAAAAAAGCCACAUAGGAAUGUAUUGAUAAAGUGUCGCAGAUGGUUUUGUCCAGGAUUGUAGCUAUAUCAAUUGCUUACAAUGUAUUACUUAUUCGAUAUAAGUCUGGUUUAAGAUUAUUGGCGAUUUUCACUACCAGUUCACGUGAUCUCAAUCACCUUGAGAAACGAACUGCAUAUAACAUGAUACUGUUAAUAUUAUUUUAUUUUUUUCUUUUGGCCCACCAAGUUCGGUGACCGAUCCAACAUAGAGAUCGUCCUGAAACAUACAGUUAAAUACUGUUGAUUGUCAUUCUUUCUAACAUAUCCAGUUUUUUAAAGUCACGUAACUUCUUAAUGUGUGUCACCCACUGAGACAUAAAUAAACCUCAAAGACAUGAAUAUAUAAACCUCAAUAGCUCCGUAAAAAACAAAUUACCUACUUCAAUUAAACUGCAUGUGUCAUGUUUACAUUUCAAUUUAAAUCUGAAAUCGGCAAUUUCCAUAGGAAACUGAGGAAACCAAUCAGGGAAGUAGCUAGGACCUUUUCGUGGGGCAGUGAGUGUAAAUGUGAAAGUUGAAUGAAUUAUUUUUAAUAUUAGAGCCUCGGAAAUGAUGAAAAUGCAAUUAAAAUGUGGCAUUCUUGGCAUGUGGUCAUUUUUAACUUCCGCUUUGCCUGUC
Non-coding RNA from Paramuricea clavata, 1126 nucleotides. The record is from the annotation of a GenBank genome assembly. Lineage: Eukaryota; Metazoa; Cnidaria; Anthozoa; Malacalcyonacea; Plexauridae.